GAUGAACGCUGGCGGCGUGCUUAACACAUGCAAGUCGAACGAGAGAAGAUCGGUGCUUGCACUGAUCCGAUCGAGUGGCGGACGGGUGAGUAACGCGUGGGUAACCUGCCUCAUACAGGGGAAUAACAGUUGGAAACGGCUGCUAAAACCGCAUAAACGCACAGUAUCGCAUGAUACAGUGUGAAAAACUCCGGUGGUAUGAGAUGGACCCGCGUCUGAUUAGCUAGUUGGUGAGGUAACGGCCCACCAAGGCAACGAUCAGUAGCCGGCCUGGGAGGGUGAACGGCCACAUUGGGACUGAGACACGGCCCAAACUCCUACGGGAGGCAGCAGUGGGGAAUAUUGCACAAUGGGGGAAACCCUGAUGCAGCGACGCCGCGUGAGUGAUGAAGUAUUUCGGUAUGUAAAGCUCUAUCAGCAGGGAAGAUAAUGACGGUACCUGACUAAGAAGCACCGGCUAAAUACGUGCCAGCAGCCGCCGUAA
This 484-nucleotide ribosomal RNA is filed under the name uncultured bacterium. RNAcentral describes it as "partial 16S ribosomal RNA". It matches the Rfam family "Bacterial small subunit ribosomal RNA", at positions 28 to 523 of the family's 1533-position model. The record is from RNAcentral.